UACGAAGGGGGCUAGCGUUGCUCGGAAUCACUGGGCGUAAAGCGCGCGUAGGCGGAUUGCUAAGUCAGGGGUGAAAUCCUGGAGCUCAACUCCAGAACUGCCUUUGAUACUGGCAAUCUCGAGUCCGGGAGAGGUGAGUGGAACUGCGAGUGUAGAGGUGAAAUUCGUAGAUAUUCGCAAGAACACCAGUGGCGAAGGCGGCUCACUGGCCCGGUACUGACGCUGAGGUGCGAAAGCGUGGGGAGCAAACAGG
This 253-nucleotide ribosomal RNA is filed under the name uncultured bacterium. RNAcentral describes it as "partial 16S ribosomal RNA". It matches the Rfam family "Bacterial small subunit ribosomal RNA", at positions 524 to 776 of the family's 1533-position model. The record is from RNAcentral.